GAUGAAGAACGUAGCGAAAUGCGAUAAGUAGUGUGAAUUGCAGAAUUCAGUGAAUCAUCGAAUCUUUGAACGCACAUUGCGCCCCUUGGUAUUCCAUGGGGCAUGCCUGUUCGAGCGUCAUUUGUACCUUCAAGCUUUGCUUGGUGUUGGGUGUUUGUCUCGCCUUUGCGUGUAGACUCGCGUUAAAAUAAUUGGCAGCCGGCGUAUUGAUUUCGGAGCGCAGUACAUCUCGCGCUUUGCACUCAUAACGACAGCGUCCAAAAGUACAUUUUACACUCUUGACCUCGGAUCAGGUAGGGAUACCCGCUGAACUUAAGCAUAUCAAUAAGCGGAGGA
This 336-nucleotide unclassified non-coding RNA is filed under the name soil metagenome. RNAcentral's name for it is "partial contains 5.8S ribosomal RNA, internal transcribed spacer 2, and large subunit ribosomal RNA". The stretch from base 1 to 120 matches the Rfam family "5.8S ribosomal RNA", at positions 35 to 154 of the family's 154-position model. The record is from RNAcentral.